Molecule: long non-coding RNA, 1122 nt
Filed under: Callithrix jacchus (white-tufted-ear marmoset)
Lineage: Eukaryota; Metazoa; Chordata; Mammalia; Primates; Cebidae
Description: lncRNA (ENSCJAG00000075442.1)
Source: RNAcentral
UAAUUUUUGAAGAGAUCUGAUUUUGGAGAUGUUUGGAUAUAUUUAUUUGGUUUAUUGAUCUGUUCUAAUUUAUAAACUAGUAAGCUAGGUUCUGAUAUCCCAAACAGGGAGCUUAUCAAAGAAUUAAAUAAGGUAAUUUUUAUCACACAUUCAAAAAGUGAAAUAAUUAAAUAUACUUUAACCUUGCUUUAUUUUGCUACUGAAGUAACCAAAUGCUUUGCUAUCUAGCAAACUGGAUAUUUCUUUCCUCUACAACUUUCAUAGGAAAUAGUCUUUUAAAAUUUUUCUUCCAGGAGACUGAAUACCCCACUUUUGAAAAAUGUUCACAGUCCUCUCUUAAGGUAUAAUUUUACUGUGUCAGAAACUAUAAUUUGUUCCAGAGAACUAAUCGAGAGGGUCUAUUGUGAGAUGUUAAAUACAUUCUUAAUGGUUUCUAAAUCCUUUUGUGAACUACAUUAGUGUGAAAUGUUAUUUAUUUAAUCUAAUAAAACCAUUACUCACAAAAGGAAAUGUACAACACCAUCUCCUCGGAGAACAAGAAAGAGCUUCUAGGGUAAAGAACAGAACAGAGCUGUUAUUUAUGGGUACAGAUUAGGAAAAAAAACCUGAAUGAGUUGAACUUCCUCUCCCAUGCCUACACUCAGAAAAUGGAAUUCAGAGCAGAAUUAGUUAUCCAAAUUCCUUUUUACAGUGUGCCUUUCCCUUGAACUCUCCUCUACAGAAACUCCACAGCUGCUCACGCAAAUUAAUUUUGCAAUGAAAGGUUUUUUAGGAAAGGGCUGAACUGCAGUGCAGGCUGCUGUGGAUUCCUUUCUUUUUCACUUACACAGAGGCACUGUCCUGGAGUGAUGAUAUGUGUGGGCUCCAGAGGUAUGUCCAUGAAUUUGAACACGCUGCUCAAAAGAGCAUCUUUAUGGGGUAUGUCUUCAUCAGCAACAUGAAAAUGAACAAAUACAUACAUAGAGACACAGAUGAUGUGAAGGAGAAACAACAAAAUUCACUGAACCUCUCUCAAGACAGUGAGAUUUUUAUUUUCACCUUUUAUAUUUUUUGAUAUUGUCUAGCAUAGCUAUUUCAAUAAAAUGUGUAUCUUUGUGAUUCAAAUAUAUUUAAUGUAAAUAU